Molecule: long non-coding RNA, 1547 nt
Organism: Gossypium raimondii (Peruvian cotton)
Lineage: Eukaryota; Viridiplantae; Streptophyta; Magnoliopsida; Malvales; Malvaceae
Exons: 3
Source: RefSeq, a predicted model, not a curated record
AAAGGAAAGGGGAAAGAAAAAUAAAAGGAAAACUAGGGAUUUGAAGCUUGAAGUUUAAUAGCUAAUAUCGAGACUGAAGCAUCGGCCCAAAAAGGAAAAGAAAAGAUCGUCGAGGAUUAAAUCCGAAGAGAAUUCCGGUUUGUAUUACUAUAAUUCAAAUAUAUUUAUUAUUAAUUGUUAUAUUUUAAUUAAAAUGCAUGGUAAGUAGAAUUAGGUAAGCAAUUGAAAUGAUAGUAGUGAUUUGAAUUGAAUUAAAUUGAAUUGAAUGAUGGAAGUAUGUGAGUAGUUGAAAUGUAUAUUGAUGGAAAAGUAAUUAGUGAUUUGAAUUUGGUUGGAAAAUAAAUUUAAAAUAUGAAUUAAAUAAAGUGAAUUAAUUUAUGAAUAUGUGUGAAUAUGUGAAUUGUGUAUUGAUUGAAAAGUGGUUUGAAUUGAAUCAAAAAUAUGAUUAUAUGUGAUUAUUUGAAAUAUGUAUUGGUAUUAAAUUGUUGAUUGAUUAGAAAGUGGAAAAGUGAUCUUGAAUUGGAAAUGAAAGUGAAUUGAGAAUUUGAAUACCCUAUUAAUUAGUCGGGCUAAGUCGGAUAUAGUUGCCAUGCCAUAGGAUUUGGAAGAGUACGGGAUUUAUCGGCUUUGCCGAUCAGGCACUUUAUGUGUCGUACAUCAGGCACUUUAUGUGUCGUAUCAGACACCUCGUGUGUCGUUUCAAGCACUUAUGUGUCGUUUACUGAUCAAGUACUAUGUACCGUUUUAGGCACAAUGUACCGUACUGGUGUGUUUGGGUUGGAAUCCGUGUAUCUGUCAAAGUCCAGAUUGUUAAUAGGGUUGAAAAAUGGGUCAGAGUCUCAGUCCAGCAUAAGAAUGAUUAUGGUUAUUUUGGUAUGUUAUAUAAUUUUGUUGUAAAGAAAGGUAUUUGAUGGUUUGAUGAUUAUAAUAGUAAAAUGGUAGAAGUUAUUUAUAGCAUUGGUAUUAAGUGGAAAUGACUUGAUUAGUUUUAUGAAUUAAUUAGAAAUGAUAAUAGGGUAUUUAUUAAUUAAGUUGUUAUGUCAAGUAUAAUUUAAGUAUAUAAAUGUAUUGGUUAAAUUACUGGGAUUGGUUUGGUUGCGAUUUGAAAUUUGCAGGGGUUUUUAUGUAAAAAUAAGCAGAAAUGCUACUGAAAUUUAUAAAAAAUAAAAAAUAAUAAAAAAAGAGAAUGAAGUCAAUUGUUAAAAUUUAUAUGAAUUAUGAUUUAUUUUAAUAUGUUGGUUAUUUAUUUAAGAAUUAUUUGUAAAUUAUUUGAUAUGUCCGAUAAUGCCUCGUAACCCUGUUUCGGCGACGGUUUGGGGUUAAGGGGUGUUACAGGACAUCUUUGAUAUGAAUGCAUAAGUAAAUAGUGGAAUUAUAGAUAAUGUUACAUAUAAGUACGUUAUAUGCUAAAAGCUAAAGAUUCUAACAAAUAUAUACAUAAAGGAUGUGGAAUGAGGAGGAGGAGGAGGAUGAGGAAAAAUAUAUGAAUAUAUAUAUGUAUAGUAGAUGAAUUUGAAAUGUUUUGAAAUGGCAUGUAGGUGAUGGAA